AACGCACAUUGCGCCCCUUGGUAUUCCGAGGGGCAUGCCUGUUCGAGCGUCAUUUCAACCCUCAAGCACUGCUUGGUCUUGGGCUCCGCCGCUAACCCGGCGGGCCUCAAAACGAGUGGCGGCGCCAUCGGGCUCUGAGCGUAGUAAAUUUCCUCGCUACGGAGUCCUGGUGACGGUGGCCAUCAACCCCCAACUCUCUCAGUUUGACCUCGGAUCAGGUAGGGAUACCCGCUGAACUUAA
This 241-nucleotide unclassified non-coding RNA is filed under the name uncultured fungus. RNAcentral's name for it is "sequence contains ITS2". The stretch from base 1 to 52 matches the Rfam family "5.8S ribosomal RNA", at positions 103 to 154 of the family's 154-position model. The record is from RNAcentral. Lineage: Eukaryota; Fungi.